RNAcentral lists this ribosomal RNA (253 nucleotides) under uncultured bacterium. RNAcentral's name for it is "partial 16S ribosomal RNA". It matches the Rfam family "Bacterial small subunit ribosomal RNA", at positions 524 to 776 of the family's 1533-position model. The record is from RNAcentral.
UACGUAGGUGGCGAGCGUUGUCCGGAUUUAUUGGGCGUAAAGAGCCCGCAGGCGGCUCGGCAAGUUUCAGGUGAAAUCUCCCGGCUUAACCGGGAGGGUGCCUGGAAAACUGCCGGGCUUGAGGCAGGGAGAGGGAUGCGGAAUUCCCGGUGUAGUGGUGAAAUGCGUAGAUAUCGGGAGGAACACCUGUGGCGAAAGCGGCUCACUGGACCACAACUGACGCUGAGGCGCGAAAGCUAGGGGAGCAAACAGG